AUUGAACGCUGGCGGCAUGCCUUACACAUGCAAGUCGAACGGCAGCACGGGAGCAAUCCUGAUGGCGAGUGGCGAACGGGUGAGUAAUAUAUCGGAACGUGCCCAGUCGUGGGGGAUAACGUAGCGAAAGCUACGCUAAUACCGCAUACGACCUAAGGAUGAAAGCGGGGGAUCGCAAGACCUCGCGGCAUUGGAGCGGCCGAUAUCAGAUUAGGUAGUUGGUGGGGUAAAGGCUCACCAAGCCGACGAUCUGUAGCUGGUCUGAGAGGACGACCAGCCACACUGGGACUGAGACACGGCCCAGACUCCUACGGGAGGCAGCAGUGGGGAAUUUUGGACAAUGGGCGCAAGCCUGAUCCAGCAAUGCCGCGUGCAGGAUGAAGGCCUUCGGGUUGUAAACUGCUUUUGUACGGAGCGAAAAGGCUCUCUCUAAUACAGGGGGCUCAUGACGGUACCGUAAGAAUAAGCACCGGCUAACUACGUGCCAGCCGCCGCGGUAA
Molecule: ribosomal RNA, 500 nt
Filed under: uncultured bacterium
Lineage: Bacteria
Description: partial 16S ribosomal RNA
Rfam family: Bacterial small subunit ribosomal RNA
Source: RNAcentral